GGUUGACCUCGGAUCAAGUAGGAAUACC
This 28-nucleotide ribosomal RNA is filed under the name [Acremonium] antarcticum. Its description in RNAcentral is "Acremonium antarcticum partial 28S ribosomal RNA". The record is from RNAcentral. Lineage: Eukaryota; Fungi; Ascomycota; Sordariomycetes; Hypocreales; Bionectriaceae.